Molecule: ribosomal RNA, 251 nt
Filed under: uncultured prokaryote
Description: partial 16S rRNA
Rfam family: Bacterial small subunit ribosomal RNA
Source: RNAcentral
ACGUAGGUGGCGAGCGUUAUCCGGAAUUAUUGGGCGUAAAGAGCGCGCAGGUGGUUGAUUAAGUCUGAUGUGAAAGCCCACGGCUUAACCGUGGAGGGUCAUUGGAAACUGGUCGACUUGAGUGCAGAAGAGGGAAGUGGAAUUCCAUGUGUAGCGGUGAGAUGUGUAGAGAUAUGGAGGGACACCAGUGGGGAGGGCGGGUACCGGGUCUGUAACUGCCACUGAGUCGCGAAAGUGUGGUGAGCAAACAG